RNAcentral lists this unclassified non-coding RNA (360 nucleotides) under uncultured fungus. RNAcentral's name for it is "sequence contains ITS1". The stretch from base 1 to 107 matches the Rfam family "5.8S ribosomal RNA", at positions 50 to 154 of the family's 154-position model. Lineage: Eukaryota; Fungi. The record is from RNAcentral.
GAAAUGCGAUACUUGGUGUGAAUUGCAGAAUCCCGUGAACCAUCGAGUCUUUGAACGCAAGUUGCGCCCGAAGCCUUAUGGUCGAGGGCACGUCUGCCUGGGCGUCACGCAUCGCGUCUCCCCCAACCCACCUCGUGUGGGCGGGGGGAGGAGGAUGGCUUCCUGCGCCUCACCGGGCGUGGCUGGCCUAAAAAAGGAGCCUCAGGUUAUGCACUGUGCGGCAAUUGGUGGUGGACAAGGCCUUGGCCUCGAAUGCAAUCUCGUGUCGUGCAGUACAUGGCAAUUGUGGGCUCGUUUUGUUCCCAAUUGGAAACAAACCGUUGCGACCCCAGGUCAGGCGGGGCUACCCGCUGAGUUUAA